This 464-nucleotide ribosomal RNA is filed under the name Staphylococcus succinus subsp. succinus. RNAcentral's name for it is "bacterial SSU rRNA". It matches the Rfam family "Bacterial small subunit ribosomal RNA", at positions 54 to 500 of the family's 1533-position model. The record is from RNAcentral. Lineage: Bacteria; Bacillati; Bacillota; Bacilli; Caryophanales; Staphylococcaceae.
CAUGCAAGUCGAGCGAACGGAUAAGGAGCUUGCUCCUUUGAAGUUAGCGGCGGACGGGUGAGUAACACGUGGGUAACCUACCUAUAAGACUGGAAUAACUUCGGGAAACCGGAGCUAAUGCCGGAUAACAUAUAGAACCGCAUGGUUCUAUAGUGAAAGAUGGUUUUGCUAUCACUUAUAGAUGGACCCGCGCCGUAUUAGCUAGUUGGUAAGGUAAUGGCUUACCAAGGCGACGAUACGUAGCCGACCUGAGAGGGUGAUCGGCCACACUGGAACUGAGACACGGUCCAGACUCCUACGGGAGGCAGCAGUAGGGAAUCUUCCGCAAUGGGCGAAAGCCUGACGGAGCAACGCCGCGUGAGUGAUGAAGGUUUUCGGAUCGUAAAACUCUGUUAUUAGGGAAGAACAAAUGCGUAAGUAACUGUGCGCAUCUUGACGGUACCUAAUCAGAAAGCCACGGCUAA